Molecule: ribosomal RNA, 466 nt
Filed under: uncultured bacterium
Lineage: Bacteria
Description: bacterial SSU rRNA
Rfam family: Bacterial small subunit ribosomal RNA
Source: RNAcentral
GACGAACGCUGGCGGCGUGCCUAACACAUGCAAGUCGAACGGGGUGUUGAGAGCUUGCUCUUAACACUUAGUGGCGAACGGGUGAGUAACGCGUGAGAAACCUGCCUUUCAGUGGGGGACAACAGUUGGAAACGACUGCUAAUACCGCAUAAUAUCUUCUAGGGGCAUCCCUUAAAGAUCAAAGCUUUAUGUGCUGAAAGAUGGUCUCGCGUCUGAUUAGCUAGUUGGUGAGGUAACGGCCCACCAAGGCGACGAUCAGUAGCCGGCCUGAGAGGGUGAACGGCCACAUUGGGACUGAGACACGGCCCAAACUCCUACGGGAGGCAGCAGUGGGGAAUAUUGCACAAUGGGGGGAAACCCUGAUGCAGCAACGCCGCGUGAGUGAAGAAGUAUUUCGGUAUGUAAAGCUCUAUCAGCAGGGAAGAAAAUGACGGUACCUGACUAAGAAGCCCCGGCUAACUACGUG